Molecule: ribosomal RNA, 500 nt
Filed under: uncultured bacterium
Lineage: Bacteria
Description: partial 16S ribosomal RNA
Rfam family: Bacterial small subunit ribosomal RNA
Source: RNAcentral
AUUGAACGCUGGCGGCAGGCCUAACACAUGCAAGUCGAGCGGUAGAGAGAAGCUUGCUUCUCUUGAGAGCGGCGGACGGGUGAGUAAUGCCUAGGAAUCUGCCUGGUAGUGGGGGAUAACGUUCGGAAACGGACGCUAAUACCGCAUACGUCCUACGGGAGAAAGCAGGGGACCUUCGGGCCUUGCGCUAUCAGAUGAGCCUAGGUCGGAUUAGCUAGUUGGUGAGGUAAUGGCUCACCAAGGCGACGAUCCGUAACUGGUCUGAGAGGAUGAUCAGUCACAAUGGAGCUGAGACACGGUCCAGAAUCCUACGGGAGGCAGCAGUGGGGAAUAUUGGACAAUGGGCGAAAGCCUGAUCCAGCCAUGCCGCGUGUGUGAAGAAGGUCUUCGGAUUGUAAAGCACUUUAAGUUGGGAGGAAGGGUUGUAGAUUAAUACUCUGCAAUUUUGACGUUACCGACAGAAUAAGCACCGGCUAACUCUUUGCCAGCCGCCGCCGUAA